This 459-nucleotide ribosomal RNA is filed under the name uncultured bacterium. RNAcentral's name for it is "partial 16S ribosomal RNA". It matches the Rfam family "Bacterial small subunit ribosomal RNA", at positions 338 to 795 of the family's 1533-position model. The record is from RNAcentral.
CCUACGGGUGGCAGCAGUGAGGAAUAUUGGUCAAUGGGCGCGAGCCUGAACCAGCCAAGUCGCGUGAGGGAAGACGGUCCUAUGGAUUGUAAACCUCUUUUGUCGGGGAGCAAAAGACGCCACGCGAGGCGUUCCGAGAGUACCCGAAGUAAAAGCAUCGGCAAACUCCGUUCCAGCAGCAGCGGUAAUACGGAGGAUACGAGCGGUGUCCGGAUUUAUUGGGUUAAACGGGUGCGCAGGGGGAAGAUCAAGUCAGCGGUAAAAUUGAGAGGCUCAACCUCUUCGAGCCGUUGAAACUGGUUUUCUUGAGUGAAUGAGAGGUAUGCGGAAUGCGUGGUGUAGCGGUGAAAUGCAUAGAUAUCACGCAGAACUCCGAUUGCGAAGGCAGCAUACCGGCGCUCAACUGACGCUGAUGCACGAAAGUGUGGGUAUCGAACAGGAUUAGAUACCCUAGUAGUC